AGAACGAACGCUGGCGGCAGGCUUAACACAUGCAAGUCGAACGCCCCGCAAGGGGAGUGGCAGACGGGUGAGUAACGCGUGGGAAUCUACCUAGUUCUACGGAACAACAGUUGGAAACGACUGCUAAUACCGUAUACGCCCUAAGGGGGAAAGAUUUAUCGGAAUUAGAUGAGCCCGCGUAAGAUUAGCUAGUUGGUGGGGUAAUGGCCUACCAAGGCGACGAUCUUUAGCUGGUCUGAGAGGAUGAUCAGCCACACUGGGACUGAGACACGGCCCAGACUCCUACGGGAGGCAGCAGUGGGGAAUAUUGGACAAUGGGCGCAAGCCUGAUCCAGCCAUGCCGCGUGAGUGAUGAAGGCCUUAGGGUUGUAAAGCUCUUUCAGUGGGGAAGAUAAUGACGGUACCACAGAAGAAGCCCCGGCUAACUUCGUGCCAGCAGCCGC
This 443-nucleotide ribosomal RNA is filed under the name uncultured bacterium. Its description in RNAcentral is "SSU rRNA". It matches the Rfam family "Bacterial small subunit ribosomal RNA", at positions 26 to 518 of the family's 1533-position model. The record is from RNAcentral.